RNAcentral lists this microRNA precursor (88 nucleotides) under Microtus ochrogaster (prairie vole). RNAcentral's name for it is "miRNA (ENSMOCG00000005968.1)". The record is from RNAcentral. Lineage: Eukaryota; Metazoa; Chordata; Mammalia; Rodentia; Cricetidae.
CUAGGCUUUUCCAGUCCAGGCAGCACCCUCAGGAGGCAGGCAUAAUGGAUAGAGAGGGGACACUGGACUUGGAGUCAGAAGACCCGAG